This is a non-coding RNA of Merluccius polli (Benguela hake), 71 nucleotides long. Lineage: Eukaryota; Metazoa; Chordata; Actinopteri; Gadiformes; Merlucciidae. The record is from the annotation of a GenBank genome assembly.
UAGCUCAACUGGAGUAGAGUAUGGCAUUAACACGGCCAGGGUUAGGGGUUCAAUUCCCACCGAGACACCCA